UGGAUUUUUGUCCCCAAUGAAUGAAAAAGUACGUGUACAUGCUGGUUAAGUGGUGAAAUUGCCUAGGAUUCUACACACAAACAAUCAAUAGUCACCAGUGGCCACACCAACACUGUUGGUCAAAAACAAUCGCAAACAUGGACAUCAUGGCAAGAAACACAUUUGUCGCCCUCUGGCAUGUGGCAUGGUUCAUGAACAAUGAUCAACUUGCUAUGGAUGUUAUGGCCUUUUUACCUCUACUGCUCCACAUUUUGAUUUCCAGGUGUGCUUAACAAGGAUUUGGUUCUUUUGGGUUUCUGAAAUGGCUUUAACAUACUGGGAUUCAGUUUUGAUUUUUAGACUUGCGUUUGACGUAUUCACAUUUUUCAUCUGCUUUUAAUUCUUCCAGAUCUUGGCUUCGGUUUAAUCAGUAUUACCCUUUCAGGUUUUGUUAGGGCCAGAUUAAAGUGUGCCAACGGUUUUUACCCUUUCAGGUUUUACUCGCAACACUUGCUAAUGCUUUUGGUAUUGUUUCUGAACAAAGUUAUUUACUACUAUGUUAAUUAGCUUGAAUUUUAUGCUUCAAAGGAUAGCCCCUAUUGCUUAUAUAUCUGCUUUGCAGUCAUCAUCCUUAAGGGACAGUUUCCCUAGGCAUUGAUGUAGAACAAAGUAAUGUUAAUGCAGAAACAAUAAUUCUAAAAGCAAUCUAAAUAAUUCAUAAAUGAGGUGGCGAUAUCGAUACUCCUUCAACCUGAAACUAUUAUGGCAUUCUCUCUGAAAUACAAGAGCAACAAGCAUCAUCAUAUGAUGUUUUCUUAAGUUUCCGAGGAAAUUGGCAUUUUGAUAAACGAGUGUAAGAUCAUCCCUUUGUACAAUGAGGAUGAUGGAUAUAACAUUGUAGAAGAUCCGUUAUUUUAUUACAAGUCAUGCAAAUUACCCACAGGGUCGAGAUCUAUAUUACUGUGAGUUAACUUCAGGAGAUUACUUCAUGGUCCAUGGACGUUCUAUAGUGGGUGUGGAUUCCUCUUUCUGGGAAAAUGAUUUUACACGUCUGUUCAGAGAAGAUACAUAACUUGGAAAAUUUGUUGGCUACAUUCCCCAUUAUAAAUG
Erigeron canadensis is the source of this 1089-nucleotide long non-coding RNA. RefSeq lists it as uncharacterized. The record is from RefSeq and is a predicted model, not a curated record. The transcript has 2 exons. NCBI's taxonomy places the organism in Eukaryota, Viridiplantae, Streptophyta, Magnoliopsida, Asterales, Asteraceae.